CCCCCUGUCGUGCCUUGCUCCCACGACUGGUCUGCUUUAACACCAUGCAAGUCGAACGGAGUAGAAAUACUUAGUGGCGACCGGGUGAGUAACGCGUGAGAAUCUGCCUUCAGACGGAUAACCCCCGGGGUGCCCGCAUGGCACCCCGGCUAAAGCCCCGACGGAGGGAUGGCUCCGACGGCCCAUCAGGUAGACGGCCGGGUGACGGGCCACCGUGCCGACAACGGGUAGACCGGGUUGACGAGACCGACCGGCCAGAUUUCGGGAACUGAGUACACGGACCCAGACUCCGUACGGGAGCAGCAGUGGGGAAUCGUUUGCGUCAAUGGGGGAACCCUGACGACAGCGACGCCGCGUGCGGACGGAGGCCGUUCGGGUCGUAAACCGCUUUCAGCAGGGAAGAGUACAAGACUGUACCUGCAGUAAGAAGCCCGGCUAACGUACGUGCCAGCAGCCGACGGUAAUACGUAGGGGACGAGCGUUUAUCCGGAUUCAUUGGGCGUAAAGCGCGCGUAGGCGGCCCGGACAGGCCGGGGUCGAAGCGGGGGCUACCAACCCCCGAACGACCCCGGAACCUCCGACGGCUUGGGUCCGGUA
This 597-nucleotide ribosomal RNA is filed under the name uncultured bacterium. Its description in RNAcentral is "bacterial SSU rRNA". It matches the Rfam family "Bacterial small subunit ribosomal RNA", at positions 1 to 653 of the family's 1533-position model. The record is from RNAcentral.